GAUGAACGCUGGCGGCGUGCCUAACACAUGCAAGUCGAACGGAAAGGCCCUGCUUGCAGGGUACUCGAGUGGCGAACGGGCGAGUAACUCGCGGGUGAAUUGCCCUCCACUUCGGGUUAAGCCAGGUCAACUGGGCCUAAUACCGGAUAGGAGCUAUUUUUAGCGUGAUGGUUGGAAAGUUUUUUCGGUGUAGGAUGAGCCCACGGCGUGUUAGCUAGUUGGUGGGGUAAAGGCCUACCAAGGCGGCGAUGCGUAGCCGACCUGAGAGGGUGAUCGGCCACAGUGGAACGGAGACACGGUCCAGACUCCUAAGGGAGGCAGCAGUGGGGAAUCUUCCGCAAUGGGCGAAAGCCUGACGGAGCAACGCCGCGUGAGUGAUGAAGGUCUUCGGAUCGUAAAACUCUGUUAUUAGGGAAGAACAAAUGUGUAAGUAACUAUGCACGUCUUGACGGUACCUAAUCAGAAAGCCACGGCUAACUACGUG
Molecule: ribosomal RNA, 484 nt
Filed under: uncultured bacterium
Lineage: Bacteria
Description: partial 16S ribosomal RNA
Rfam family: Bacterial small subunit ribosomal RNA
Source: RNAcentral